This is a long non-coding RNA of Triticum urartu, 2679 nucleotides long. RefSeq lists it as uncharacterized. The record is from RefSeq and is a predicted model, not a curated record. Lineage: Eukaryota; Viridiplantae; Streptophyta; Magnoliopsida; Poales; Poaceae.
UUUUUCUUUCGUAUCUCACCCCGCACGUAAAACAAACCUCAAUCUCGAUCUGUUUCAUCUCAGCCUCCAGCCCCGAGAGAAGCCGCCGCCGCCGCCGAGAGGAGACGCCCCAGCCCCGAUAGGAUCCGCCGCCGCCGCCGGGGAACGAGGCGCCGCCGCCUCCCUCGCCCGCGGCCAUGAUGACCGAUCUGGCGUUGGCGCCGCAGAUCACCCUCUGGUCCAUGGCCUCGACUAGGUUGCUAUGAUCUGGCGAUGGGGAUGCAAGGAGAAGCUGCUGCGGUUUCAAGGGGCCGUGAGGAUGCCCAUCAUGAAGGCGUGUCUGGGAUGAUGGAGGUGAUAUCCGCCAGGUCCCCGUCGCCGUCGACUGGCGGCAGCCACCGUCUCCUCUUCCAUGGCGUCGUCGGGGCCUUCCCCUGCCAAGCACAGCGGCUUCUUGGCUGGAUCACCGUCGCACACCUCACCGGCGUGGUCGGCAAGAUCUGCAUCUCGAUCCUCGCCACUCUCCAUCCUUGCAGGUUUAUAAAUUUCAAAAUAUAGUUGCAGCUUCACGGAAUGGACGGCCCAAAUUAUGUUAGUGUCUAUAUGUUUACUUGGUGGUGGUCUAGCGUGAGUGACACCUGCAUCUGUAACUUACCCAUUGGAUGUUCUUCGAAAUCACCUGACAACACAGAAAACCACUAGGUAUUACAAGGGCACCUUUCACACGUUGUCUACAAUUUGUAGAGAAGAGAAUGGUAGAGGAUUGUAUAAAGGCCUUUGGUCCACCUUAUUGGGAGUUGGACCUGAUAUAUCAAUCAACGUUUAUGUAUAUGAAUCCCUGAGGUCUCAUUGGAAAAAUGGAAAGUUGAAUGUCAAACUGUGCGACCAAUGAUUUGAUAUGGUUAAUUCCAGUUGGGUGUGUUAACCUACAGUAAUCAAUCAAGUCAACAAAUAUAACAAUGAUACUUUGUCUUCUGAUUUUGGUGAUGAUUUUUUUGUGACUGAACUAACAGGAGUUGAAGCAUAUGUGUUCUUAUUUUUUUAUAUGACUACAUGCAUAUGAACUGAAGCUCCAUAAUUUUCUUUUCAAGUCGACAUUGGUGGCAACCAAUACAAUUAGCGUUAUUUACAACCAAUGAAGUCUUAUAAUUUUCUUUCUUAGAAAUAUACGGUGACGCUGACUAUCAUUUAGUAGCUCUACAGGCACUAGCCUAAAACAAUAAUGUUUAUUUAUUUAACCACCAAAUAGAACAAUAGGUUAUUCUGCAUUAUGGGUACACAAAUCACAACACUAUAUUUCAGCUGUAGAAAUCUGUGUGGAUGCCUGCUGAUAUUUUAAGCCUACAUAUUGCCGAUUUGGUUUGAGUAAUGCUUGAAGCAUAAUUUACUCCCUAAUGUGCAAAUAGCAGUAUCAUUUUUUGUCAAGAAACUGAGAAGACGGAAGAGAGUUGGUGUUGUCAGUGUGGUGAGCCUAUGUGGCAACCACAAGGCUGAAGUCUGCUUUGAUCGUUGUUCAAGAUUUGAGCCUUGGCUCCGGUUUUGAUAGCUCUAUAUCAACUUUCAGCGAGUUUUUGUUCUCGGACUUGGGAUCCACAGUCCAAAGUUGAUUGGUGGAUCAAGUGAACUUGGUGCAUCUCCAUUCAAGCUGGAGUACAAUUACCAGCCUGCUUGUUUAGCGCAGUCUCCACAAUCAUACAAGCAAAUGAGCAUCUGGCGACCCAACACACAAAGUUUCUAUCUUCUUAUUUUCUAUACAAGUAGCAGCUGGCGCAGCGGUGGUGUUGAUGAACGACACCCAAUGCAGAGGCGGCAGUUACCAUAGGGAAGAGGUCAGGAACAUCUAGCUCUUGUGGUGUUCCUCCUCAUUAUUGUCAUCGCCAUCAACAACAACAAUGACGACCGGCUCAUGAGACAGCUACUAGAGAGGGAGCGAGGAAGGGGGAGACAGAUCUUUCAGGUACAAUGGAGCUCGGUCAAAAAUCACCUAAGGAAAAUAUGUUGUUCUUCUCUACAAGGGUUGCAUGUGGAAUUUGAGGAGAAUCUGUGCACCAGCAUCCGACUCCUUGAUGUUGCUCUGAUCAUAUUGUGUAAAUAUAUUUCUAAUAAAGCAAUCGCCCGAUGGUGUACAUGUUAUAAAUAACAAGAAUCAUCAAGUGUGAGAGAUGGCAACAUCAUGAUGGGAUGAUGGAUUGAAAAGUACCAAAGAUUGAUGCCAAGCAGAACUAAAACCUGUCCAUGGAUUACCUUCAGUCCCGCAUUCCAAUCAACAACAUUGGGCCGAGCGAGCGCGCGGGUGGCACAAGAGGCAAUGGGCAGCUGGUGGAGACUGAGUGGUGAGCGGCGGUGGCGAGGUCGAGAGGUUGGCACCAGCGGCGAGUAGGCAAUUACCGUGACGGGCGAGCGGACGGGGCUUGUAGGUGUCACGAUUGCAUCACAAUUAGAAUAAAGUAAACAAUGCAUACUCGUGUGGCCAUUGACUGAUUUUGUGUGUUGUGUGCUUGUGUUAACAGCCAGCCAAAUCAAUCAGCCAAGGGCCAUUAUGUAGGUGAGUGUGUCAGCAGUGGGUAUAUCUGAAGAUUAUUUCUCAACUCGGCAUGUGGGUAGAGACUAAAAAGACAAUGCCAUGGUAGCAUGGCAGACCUGGCAAGUGCCACGAACAUCAUGAUAUUCUUCCUUUCCUUAAUUCCUUGAUUUGAAAAA